UGACUCUGCAUUCUCGAGAGCUAGGGCUCU
RNAcentral lists this small RNA (30 nucleotides) under Bombyx mori (domestic silkworm). RNAcentral describes it as "ovarian small RNA-8165". Lineage: Eukaryota; Metazoa; Arthropoda; Insecta; Lepidoptera; Bombycidae. The record is from RNAcentral.